RNAcentral lists this ribosomal RNA (228 nucleotides) under uncultured bacterium. RNAcentral's name for it is "partial 16S ribosomal RNA". It matches the Rfam family "Bacterial small subunit ribosomal RNA", at positions 122 to 334 of the family's 1533-position model. The record is from RNAcentral.
CAACCUGCCCUUCAGAGGGGGAUAACAACGGGAAACCGUUGCUAAUACCGCGUACGAUUCACAGGCGGCAUCGCUUGUGAAUGAAAGGUGGCCUCUAUAUAUAAGCUAUCGCUGAAGGAGGGGAUUGCGUCUGAUUAGCUAGUUGGAGGGGUAACGGCCCACCAAGGCAAUGAUCAGUAGCCGGUCUGAGAGGUUGAACGGCCACAUUGGGACUGAGACACGGCCCAG